This 1548-nucleotide ribosomal RNA is filed under the name metagenome. RNAcentral's name for it is "bacterial SSU rRNA". It matches the Rfam family "Bacterial small subunit ribosomal RNA". The record is from RNAcentral.
AGAGUUUGAUCCUGGCUCAGAGUGAACGCUGGCGGCGUGGAUUAGGCAUGCAAGUCGAGCGAUCCUUGCUGGAAAUUUUGUUGAAGUGCUUGCACUGAUAUGAUUUGGAAAGCUCUGGAUAGCGGCAAACGGGUGAGGAACACGUGAGUAAUUUGCCUCAAAGUCAAACAUAGCUUCGUGAAAACGGAGGUAAUAUUUGAUGUGGUCUCGCCACCGUAUGGUGGCGGAAUUAAAGGUGGGGACCUUCGGGCCUGCCACUUUGAGAUGAGCUCGCGUCCUAUCAGCUUGUUGGUGGGGUGAAGGCCUACCAAGGCGUAUGACGGGUAGCUGGUCUGAGAGGAUGGUCAGCCACACUGGGACUGAGACACUGCCCAGACUCCUACGGGAGGCUGCAGUCGAGAAUCUUUAGCAAUGGACGAAAGUCUGACUAAGCGACGCCGCGUGCAGGAUGAAGGUUUUCGGAUUGUAAACUGCUUUUAUCAGGAAAGAAACUCCCGCCGUAUAAUAUAUGGCAGGAUUGACGGUACCUGAUGAAUAAGCCACGGCCAACUCCGUGCCAGCAGCCGCGGUAAUACGGAGGUGGCGAGCGUUACUCGGAAUUAUUGGGUGUAAAGGGCAAGUAGGCGGCUUGUUAUGUGAGAGGUGAAAUCUUCCGACUCAAUCGGGAAAUUGCCCUUCAAACUGACAGGCUUGAGGCAGGAAGAGGGAAAUGGAAUUAGCGGUGUAAGGGUGAAAUCUGUAGAUAUCGCUAAGAACACCAGCAGCGUAGGCGAUUUCCUGGUCCUGUUCUGACGCUGAAUUGCGAAAGCUAGGGGAGCAAACAGAAUUAGAUACUCUGGUAGUCCUAGCUGUAAACGAUGAGCACUAGGUGUUGGUCCGUCAAGGAUCAGUGCCGCAGCUAACGCGAUAAGUGCUCCACCUGGGGACUACGGCCGCAAGGCUAAAACUCAAAGGAAUUGACGGGGACCCGCACAAGCGGUGGAACAUGUGGUUUAAUUCGAUGCUACGCGAAGAACCUCACCAGGGCUUGACAUGCCCGUCGUAUUCCCCUGAAAGGGGGAAGUCAUUUAGUUGGACGGUGCACAGGUGCUGCAUGGCUGUCGUCAGCUCGUGUCGUGAGAUGUUGGGUUAAGUCCCGCAACGAGCGCAACCAUUGCCCUAUGUUGCUAACUUCUGAUCCAUUUUUUGGAUUUGGAGUGCACUCUUAGGGGACUGCCCGGGAUAACCGGGAGGAAGGUGGAGAUGACGUCAAGUCAGUACGGCCUUUAUGCCCUGGGCUACACACGUGUUACAAUGGCUGGUACAAAGGGUUGCCAACCCGCGAGGGGGAGCUAAUCUCAAAAAACCAGCCUCAGUUCGGAUUGGAGUCUGCAAUUCGACUCCAUGAAGCCGGAAUCGCUAGUAAUGGGAGAUCAGCUCGCUCCCGUGAAUACGUUCCCGGGUCUUGUACACACCGCCCGUCAAGCGAUGGGAGCUAGGGGUACCCGAAGUCCUAUGUAGAUAGGCCGAAGGUGAAACUGGUGACUGGCGCUAAGUCGUAACAAGGUA